AUUGAACGCUGGCGGCAGGCCUAACACAUGCAAGUCGAACGGUAACAGAAAGCAGCUUGCUGCUUUGCUGACGAGUGGCGGACGGGUGAGUCAUGUCUGGGAAACUGCCUGAUGGAGGGGGAUAACUACUGGAAACGGUAGCUAAUACCGCAUAACGUCGCAAGACCAAAGAGGGGGACCUUCGGGCCUCUUGCCAUCGGAUGUGCCCAGAUGGGAUUAGCUAGUAGGUGGGGUAAAGGCUCACCUAGGCGACGAUCCCUAGCUGGUCUGAGAGGAUGACCAGCCACACUGGAACUGAGACACGGUCCAGACUCCUACGGGAGGCAGCAGUGGGGAAUAUUGCACAAUGGGCGCAAGCCUGAUGCAGCCAUGCCGCGUGUAUGAAGAAGGCCUUCGGGUUGUAAAGUACUUUCAGCGGGGAGGAAGGGAGUAAAGUUAAUACCUUUGCUCAUUGACGUUACCCGCAGAAGAAGCACCGGCUAACUCCGUG
Molecule: ribosomal RNA, 490 nt
Filed under: uncultured bacterium
Lineage: Bacteria
Description: partial 16S ribosomal RNA
Rfam family: Bacterial small subunit ribosomal RNA
Source: RNAcentral